GGGUCAUUAGCUCAGUUGGUAGAGCACCUGACUCUUAAUCAGGUUGUCCACGGUUCGAGCCCGUGAUGACCCACCA
This 76-nucleotide transfer RNA is filed under the name Bacillota bacterium. RNAcentral describes it as "tRNA-Lys". It matches the Rfam family "tRNA". From Rfam's summary of the family: Transfer RNA (tRNA) molecules are approximately 80 nucleotides in length. Their secondary structure includes four short double-helical elements and three loops (D, anti-codon, and T loops). RNAcentral also lists the same sequence under 4 other names. The record is from RNAcentral. Lineage: Bacteria; Bacillati; Bacillota.